RNAcentral lists this ribosomal RNA (465 nucleotides) under Vreelandella stevensii. Its description in RNAcentral is "partial 16S ribosomal RNA". It matches the Rfam family "Bacterial small subunit ribosomal RNA", at positions 338 to 795 of the family's 1533-position model. Lineage: Bacteria; Pseudomonadati; Pseudomonadota; Gammaproteobacteria; Oceanospirillales; Halomonadaceae. The record is from RNAcentral.
CCUACGGGGGGCAGCAGUGGGGAAUAUUGGACAAUGGGGGCAACCCUGAUCCAGCCAUGCCGCGUGUGUGAAGAAGGCCCUCGGGUUGUAAAGCACUUUCAGUGAGGAAGAACGCCUGGUGGUUAAUACCCAUCAGGAAAGACAUCACUCACAGAAGAAGCACCGGCUAACUCCGUGCCAGCAGCCGCGGUAAUACGGAGGGUGCGAGCGUUAAUCGGAAUUACUGGGCGUAAAGCGCGCGUAGGUGGCUUGAUAAGCCGGUUGUGAAAGCCCCGGGCUCAACCUGGGAACGGCAUCCGGAACUGUCAAGCUAGAGUGCAGGAGAGGAAGGUAGAAUUCCCGGUGUAACGGUGAAAUGCGUAGAGAUCGGGAGGAAUACCAGUGGCGAAGGCGGCCUUCUGGACUGACACUGACACUGAGGUGCGAAAGCGUGGGUAGCAAACAGGAUUAGAUACCCUGGUAGUC